CAGCAUUUUACUACAUAGUAUACAAGUUUUUAAUGAGCAUUUAAAAAAAUAAGUAAAUCUAGGCUAUUUGAAAAAUACAGUUGAGCCAGUGAGCACAUUUUAUAAUUUGGAAGACACAAAUCAAAUGUGAAGGAUUUGAUUUUCUACAUUUAAAAUGAAGAACCAAAAUUCUCUUCUUGAUUUUCAGCUAAAGGCAGGAGACUACUUUCCAACUCCUUUUGCUUCUGGAGAAGGCCCUGAAAUCACAUUGAUAUAUGUUUGUUAGUAAAAUGUGCACACCUGACUUGCAAUGUUGUGUUAAACUAGAAUUAUAUUCACUUGGAAAACAUAUCGCUUAGGAUAAAAUUUUGUCAUUCAUUCAAAAAUUUUUUCAGAAAUGCUUGUACUAGACCACCUCAUUUGGAUAUAUAGCUAUCACAUUUGUAAGAAAGAUUCUAUUUUUAGCAUAAAAAUCAAUAGGGAUGAAAAUUUUCUUAAAACUCAAGACUCCAUAACUAUGGGGGUAAAUGAAGUCAUCCCUUCUCCCCCAGUCCACCCCCAAGUGCUCUUAGAUACUGAAGGCGUCUCCCUUAACAUACAGUGUUUUUUUUUUGUUUUUUUUUUUUUUUUUUGGAGACGGAGUCUCGCUCUGUCGCCCAAGCUGGAGUACAGUGGUGCAAUCUCACUGCAAGCUCUGCCUCCCAGGUUCACACCAUUCUCCUGCCUCAACCUCCCAAAUGGCUGGGACUACAGGCACCCACCACCACACCUGGCUAACUAACUUUUUGUAUUAUUUUUAGUAGAGACAGGGUUUCACUGUGUUAGCCAGGAUGGUCUUGAUCUCCUGACCUCAUGAUCUGCCUGCCUCAGCCUCCCAAAGUGCUGGGAUUACAGGCUUGAGCCACUGCUCCUGGCCAACAUCCAGUAUUUUAUCUUCACUGUCCUAACCUUACCUUAGAUGCUAACAGAAGGGUCCUGCUGAAAUAACACUGGGUGCUAUAUUGAUGGGUAAAUGUGUACAUCCUAUUCCUUCCUCUUUAUCUCACAAUUUUUGUCUCCACUAAGCAAGAAGUAAACUAACAAACACUUUGUCACUCUAAAGAAAUAACUUAUGUAAAACUCUUAGUAACCCUGUUUGUCUUCAAAUGAGUAAAUAGACCAAAGUCGGGGGACAAUUUUCUAGUUCUAUAGAGGGAAAAACAUCUGAGUCAACAUUUUGAAAUGCAGAGGGUAUUGGUACAUGACGACAUGGAAAAGGGCACUUUUAAACACAGCUUACUCUUCCUCAAGUACAGAGAGUAUAUAGUGAAUCAAAACUAACUACAGCCAUUCUUUUUAAAGCCCAAGGGAUGGAGCGAAGGUGUAAGGAUGUUACCUGUUUGUUUUAAUCAGAGAGCAAAAAGAAGUCACAAUAGUUUGGGAGAAAAAGUAGUAUGGGCCUUAUUGAUGUUUUGCCGUUCC
RNAcentral lists this long non-coding RNA (1440 nucleotides) under Pan troglodytes (chimpanzee). RNAcentral describes it as "long non-coding RNA NONPTRT011942". Lineage: Eukaryota; Metazoa; Chordata; Mammalia; Primates; Hominidae. The record is from RNAcentral.